GUGUGCGUGUUACCUGGCGGGAGCAACAGUCUGUGUGACGGGCUUGUUGGGCCGCACGGGGAUGGGCUCGUCGAGGAACUUGAGGUCGUGCUCCGGGAGCUCCGGGCGCCGCACCACCGGCACAGCCGCGUAUAGUGUGUGUUCUGUGUGUGUUACCUGGCGGGAGCAACAGUCUGUGUGACGGGCUUGUUGGGCCGCACGGGGAUGGGCUCGUCGAGGAACUUGAGGUCGUGCUCCGGGAGCUCCGGGCGCCGCACCACCGGCACAGCCGCGUAUAGUGUGUGUUCUGUGUGUGUUACCUGGCGGGAGCAACAGUCUGUGUGACGGGCUUGUUGGGCCGCACGGGGAUGGGCUCGUCGAGGAACUUGAGGUCGUGCUCCGGGAGCUCCGGGCGCCGCACCACCGGCACAGCCGCGUCCAGCUUGGCGAUCAGCUCCGGGUCCAGCCCGAA
Cydia amplana is the source of this 451-nucleotide long non-coding RNA. RefSeq lists it as uncharacterized. The record is from RefSeq and is a predicted model, not a curated record. NCBI's taxonomy places the organism in Eukaryota, Metazoa, Arthropoda, Insecta, Lepidoptera, Tortricidae. The transcript has 3 exons.